Molecule: ribosomal RNA, 466 nt
Filed under: uncultured bacterium
Lineage: Bacteria
Description: bacterial SSU rRNA
Rfam family: Bacterial small subunit ribosomal RNA
Source: RNAcentral
CUGGCGGCGUGCCUAACACAUGCAAGUCGAGCGAGGAGAUUCCUCGGGAUGAUCCUAGCGGCGGACGGGUGAGUAACACGUGGGCAACCUGCCUCAUAGAGAGGAAUAGCCUUCCGAAAGGGAGAUUAAUACCUCAUAACAUUGCAGUUUCGCAUGGAACAGCAAUUAAAGGAGCAAUCCGCUAUGAGAUGGGCCCCGCGGCGCAUUAGCUAGUUGGUGAGGUAACGGCUCACCAAGGCGACGAUGCGUAGCCGACCUGAGAGGGUGAUCGGCCACAUUGGGACUGAGACACGGCCCAGACUCCUACGGGAGGCAGCAGUGGGAAAUAUUGCACAAUGGGGGAAACCCUGAUGCAAGCAACGCCGCGUGAGUGAUGACGGCCUUCGGGUUGUAAAGCUCUGUCUUCAGGGACGAUAAUGACGGUACCUGAGGAGGAAGCCACGGCUAACUACGUGCCAGCCGCUGC